Long non-coding RNA from Cyprinus carpio carpio, 1779 nucleotides. The record is from Ensembl. NCBI's taxonomy places the organism in Eukaryota, Metazoa, Chordata, Actinopteri, Cypriniformes, Cyprinidae.
GAGAAUCAUGAGGUCAAAGGAACUGCCUGAAGAGCUCAGAGACUGAAUUGUGGCAAGGCACAGAUCUGGCCAAGGUUACAAAAACAUUUCUGCUGCACUUAAGGUUCCUAAGAGCACAGCGGCCUCCAUAAUCCUUAAAUGGAAGACGUUUGGAAUGACCAGAACCCUUCCUAGAGCUGGCCGUCCGGCCAAACUGAGCUAUCGGUGGAGAAGAGCCUUGGUGAGAGAGGUAAAGAAGAACCCAAAGAUCACUGUGGCUGAGCUCCAGAGAUGCAGUCGGGAGAUGGGAGAAAGUUGUAGAAAGUCAACCAUCACUGCAGCCCUCCAUCAGUCGAGGCUUUAUGGCAGAGUGGCCCGACAGAAGCCUCUCCUCAGUGCAAGACACAUGAAAAAACACCUGAAGAUGGUCUCCAAGAUGGUCUGAUGAGACCAAGAUAGAACUUUUUGGCCUUAAUUCUAAGCGGUAUGUGUGGAGAAAACCAGGCACUGCUCAUCACCUGUCCAAUACAGUCCCAACAGUGAAGCAUGGUGGUGGAAGCAUCAUGCUGUGGGGGUGUUUUUCAGCUGCAGGGACAGGACGACUGGUUGCAAUCGAGGGAAAGAUGAAUGCGGCCAAGUACAGGGAUAUCCUGGACGAAAACCUUCUCCAGAGUGCUCAGGACCUCAGACUGGGCUGAAGGUUCACCUUCCAACAAGACAAUGACCCUAAGCACACAGCUAAAAUAACAAAGGAGUUGCUUCACAAAAACUCCGUGACUCUUCCUGAAUGGAGAGACCUGAAAAUGGCUGUCCACCAACGUUUACCAUCCAACCUGACAGAACUGAAGAGGAUCUGCAAGGAGGAAUGGCAGAGGAUCCCCAAAUGCAGACUUGCUCAGCACGAGCGUCCUCCGUGCCCACUUCAGGAGCCUGUAGUCUGGCUGGUGGCAGCUGUCCUCACCCUUCACCCCAGCAGGCUCCAGGAUGUCUCACUUCCACUUCCUAUAUGUGACCCGCAGCUUCGGGCGUCCUUCGAUUGCUGCUUAAUUACAUUUAAUUAAGCAGAGCCCAUUUCCCUUGUGAUGUCCAGUUUCCAGGCUUUGGCUCAUCACUGUUAUUGUCAUCCUCUUGUUUAUGGUUGGGGAUUUAAAUCAAUUUAUUUCUGUUAAUAUUGCAGCUGUUCAUUAUUUCUGAACUCACUAGGAUUUGUUUUUGUUUUACAGUCUCAAUUAAAUGUGACCUUUUCCAUUAACAGUUUUAUAAACUAAUAUAUAAUGCUUCGUUUACCUCUUAUUGUGACAUUGGCAGAAUAAAUGAAUUAAUAAUAAGGGUUUUUAUAAAAUUCAAGAGACCAUAAUUAUUCCACUUGCACUAUGGUUACCACACCUCAAGACAUUGUUUAAGUUUUAUUUCAAGACUGUCAGGUUUUGAUCCUUAACAUACUUUUGUGUGGAGGACUAAUUUAUGUCAAGCUUCCGUUUGCUAAUUACAAAAAGUCAUUUUAGAGCUAAUAAUGGAUAUGCAGAGUAGAGAUUACAGUUUUUUUUUCUCAAUUGCUUUGGCACAUUUUUCGAAACAGUGUUCAUCUUUAAACUGUAAGUGCAAUGGUCAGAACUGUUUGCUGAAACAUCAUAACCAUAAACAUCAGAAACAUAACUCGCCCUAAACAUUUAAUUCAUGCUUCAGAACCAGUUGUGUCAGUGACUUGGCCAGUGCCACCAAAAUAAAAAGCUUUUUUUUUUCAUUGUGUGAGCCACACUGUUCAAAAUGUUUAUUUUGAAUGGAAAUAUUGGAAUGGAA